AUUGAACGCUGGCGGCAGGCCUAACACAUGCAAGUCGAGCGGAUGAAGGGAGCUUGUUUAUGGAUUCAGCGGGGGGCGGGCGAGUGAUUACUAGGAGUCUGCCUGGCCGUGGGGGAUAACGUCCGGAAACGGGAGCUAAUACCGCACACGUCCAGAGCGAGAAAGAGGGGGAUCAUCGGAGAUCACGCUAUCAGCUGCGCCUAGGUAGGAUUAGCCAGUUGGUUAGGUAGAUGCCUACCAAGGCGACGACCCGUAACUGGUCUGAGAGGAUGAUCAGUCACACUGGAACUGAGACACGGUCCAGACUCCUACGGGAGGCAGCAGUGGGGAAUAUUGGACAAUGGGCGAAAGCCUGAUCCAGCCAUGCCGCGUGUGUGAAGAAGGUCUUCGGAUUGUAAAGCACUUUAAGUUGGGAGGAAGGGCAGUAAGUUAAUACCUUGCUGUUUUGACGUUACCAACAGAAUAAGCACCGGCUAACUUCGUG
This 484-nucleotide ribosomal RNA is filed under the name uncultured bacterium. RNAcentral's name for it is "partial 16S ribosomal RNA". It matches the Rfam family "Bacterial small subunit ribosomal RNA", at positions 30 to 507 of the family's 1533-position model. The record is from RNAcentral.